RNAcentral lists this ribosomal RNA (491 nucleotides) under uncultured bacterium. Its description in RNAcentral is "partial 16S ribosomal RNA". It matches the Rfam family "Bacterial small subunit ribosomal RNA", at positions 29 to 506 of the family's 1533-position model. The record is from RNAcentral.
AGUGAACGCUGGCGGUAGGCCUAACACAUGCAAGUCGAACGGCAGCACAGUAAGAGCUUGCUCUUACGGGUGGCGAGUGGCGGACGGGUGAGGAAUACAUCGGAAUCUACUUUUUCGUGGGGGAUAACGUAGGGAAACUUACGCUAAUACCGCAUACGACCUACGGGUGAAAGCAGGGGAUCUUCGGACCUUGCGCGAUUGAAUGAGCCGAUGUCGGAUUAGCUAGUUGGCGGGGUAAAGGCCCACCAAGGCGACGAUCCGUAGCUGGUCUGAGAGGAUGAUCAGCCACACUGGAACUGAGACACGGUCCAGACUCCUACGGGAGGCAGCAGUGGGGAAUAUUGGACAAUGGGCGCAAGCCUGAUCCAGCCAUACCGCGUGGGUGAAGAAGGCCUUCGGGUUGUAAAGCCCUUUUGUUGGGAAAGAAAAGCAGCAGGUUAAUACCCCGCUGUUCUGACGGUACCCAAAGGAUAAGCACCGGCUAACUUCGU